Long non-coding RNA from Equus quagga, 1249 nucleotides. RefSeq lists it as uncharacterized. The record is from RefSeq and is a predicted model, not a curated record. NCBI's taxonomy places the organism in Eukaryota, Metazoa, Chordata, Mammalia, Perissodactyla, Equidae. The transcript has 3 exons.
GGCGCGGGCCGGUUCCGGCGCUGUAGGAUCUCUCGGCGGCGGCCUCGUGCGCCUGUCCGCGUGAACCCCGGCGACAUGAUUGGAUAUGGAUUAUUUUCGUCGACACUGGUUAGGGGUGAGGACACUAGUAGGUGCGUCCACCACAUCCAGCCUCCUCCAGCACCUCCAACAUGUUUCAGGGCGAGAAGUCCCGUGUCCUCUCAGGACCACGACUGCGUUAUUAAAUGCUGCAAGAAGAGAGUUAUAAUAUGGAGGGCAGAGAAGAGGAUUUGGAGCCCAAAGACCAGUGUUCAAUCUAGAACCUUUUGGAUUAUUGGCAUUUCCAUCCCUUGUGCCAGCUGGCACAUAGUAAAUGUCUGAAUGAAUAAAUAAAUGAACACGGAUUUCUUCAUCUGUAAAUUGGAGAUACGAACACCUACCACACAGAAUAUUUGUGAGAACAAGUAAGAGAACUAAUGGGUGCCCUAGUGCUUUGUUAACUUUACGACUCUGAGUUAAAUUAUUUUUAAAAGUCUGUUAGUAGGGUUUGUUAUUUUAUAAAAAUAUCAAAUGUCAAAUAAACUCCAUUAUUUGGCUUUGAUGUAGUAUUUUAUUUAAUUAUGUUUUCCUUCUAACUAAGAUAGCAUUAACAACAAGUUUUUUCAGUGUUCAUUUUAAACAGAAAAAAUGUCUUACAAUUCAUUAAAAACACUCUGUAAUUCAGGUCAACACCAAUGUCCUUCUACCUCCUUUGGCUAAGUCAUUAUCAGGAAAUCUGUUUCAUUUCAAAAGAAAGCAUCUUAUUAGAAAAAAAGGUCUAAAGUUUAUAUGUUCUCAUUAAAUUCCAAUUCAACAGCAUUUACCAAAGCCCUUCACAGAUAUUUCAUUUAUAACAUUUAUCAUAUUGUAUUAUAAACAAUAUUUCAGGAGACUGAGCAACUUAAGGGCAGAAAAUCAUGUCAUAUUCAUCUUUAUAUCAAGUUCCUAGGCUUUGGCUGGUUCUCUGUAGAGGUUAGUGCCUCAGACAUUGAAUGAAUGACAGACAUAGAAUGAACGAACAGAGGAUAUGUGUUGUGUCCAGCAGAGGACAAAGAGCUGUUAUAACUUUGAUUAGUUUUAUGGCAUAUGGUCAAAGUGAUAAGAAGUUAAUCAACAAACUGAAAACAGGAUUUUUUUUUUUUUGAGGAUUAGCACCUGAGCUAACAUAUUGCCAAUCUCUUUUUUUUUCUUCGUCUUCUUCUCCCCAAAGCCCCCCAGUACAUACUUGUAU